This 264-nucleotide ribosomal RNA is filed under the name uncultured bacterium. RNAcentral's name for it is "partial 16S ribosomal RNA". It matches the Rfam family "Bacterial small subunit ribosomal RNA", at positions 524 to 776 of the family's 1533-position model. The record is from RNAcentral.
UACGUAGGUGGCAAGCGUUGUCCGGAAUUAUUGGGCGUAAAGCGCGCUCAGGCGGUCUCUUAAGUCUGAUGUGAAAGCCCACGGCGUCAACCGUACGGAGGGUCGAUUGGUAAACGUAGGGAGGACUUGUAGUACAGAAGAGGAGAGUGGAAUUACCACCGUGUAGCGGUGAAAUGCGUAGAUAUGUGGAGGAACACCAGUGGCGAAGGCGACUCUCUGGUCUGUAACUGACGCUGAGGCGCGAAAGCGUGGGGAGCAAACAGG